CCUACGGGGUGCAGCAGUGAGGAAUAUUGGUCAAUGGAUGAGAGUCUGAACCAGCCAAGUAGCGUGAAGGAUGACUGCCCUAUGGGUUGUAAACUUCUUUUAUAUGGGAAUAAAAUGUUCCACGUGUGGGAUUUUGUAUGUACCAUAUGAAUAAGGAUCGGCUAACUCCGUGCCAGCAGCCGCGGUAAUACGGAGGAUCCGAGCGUUAUCCGGAUUUAUUGGGUUUAAAGGGAGCGUAGGUGGAUUGUUAAGUCAGUUGUGAAAGUUUGCGGCUCAACCGUAAAAUUGCAGUUGAAACUGGCAGUCUUGAGUACAGUAGAGGUGGGCGGAAUUCGUGGUGUAGCGGUGAAAUGCUUAGAUAUCACGAAGAACUCCGAUUGCGAAGGCAGUUCACUGGACUGCAACUGACACUGAGGCUCGAAAGUGUGGGUAUCAAACAGGAUUAGAUACCCCAGUAGUC
Molecule: ribosomal RNA, 460 nt
Filed under: uncultured bacterium
Lineage: Bacteria
Description: partial 16S ribosomal RNA
Rfam family: Bacterial small subunit ribosomal RNA
Source: RNAcentral